AUUUCAACCCCCUAUUUUACCCACUUGAGGGUAAUCCUUCAAAAAUCCUUUCUUAACGGAUGUUUACGUUAUAAUAACUAUCUGCGUACCAAAUUUUAGUCCGAUCUGUCCAGUACUUUGAGCUGUGGGUUGAUAGAUCAGCCAGUCAGAUUUUCCUUUUAUAUAUUUAGAUUUCUGCGCAAGUACCUACUUAAUAAUUA
Long non-coding RNA from Maniola jurtina (meadow brown), 200 nucleotides. RefSeq lists it as uncharacterized. NCBI's taxonomy places the organism in Eukaryota, Metazoa, Arthropoda, Insecta, Lepidoptera, Nymphalidae. The transcript is spliced from 3 exons. The record is from RefSeq and is a predicted model, not a curated record.